Molecule: ribosomal RNA, 1360 nt
Filed under: Hygrotus impressopunctatus
Lineage: Eukaryota; Metazoa; Arthropoda; Insecta; Coleoptera; Dytiscidae
Description: 16S ribosomal RNA
Source: RNAcentral
UGUGCAAUUCAAUAUAAUUUGAAAAUAAAAAAAUUAUUUAUUUUAUUAUAAUUUAUUUUUUAAUAAAAAUAAUUUUAAUAGUUUAGUUUUUAGUAUAUUUUAUUGAAAAGAUUAGUUUAAUUAUAGUUUAUUAGUAUUGUAAAAGAAAUUUGAAUUAUGAGUUAAUUUGUUAAAAGUAAAAUUUAUUUUUUGUACCUUGUGUAUCAGGGUUUAUAAAUUUAUUAAUAUAAAUUUUAUUUUUCCCGAAUUUAAGAGAGAGAAUAAAUAAUUUUUUUUAUUGUAAAAAAAAUAUUUAAAAUUGUUUAUUAGUAAUGAAAAGUUAUUCGUUCUUAAAUAUAUCUGGUUUAUUUAGAAAUGAAUUUAAUUCAGUUAAUUUAUUUUAAUUAAUUUAUUUUUUUAAAUUAAUUAAUUUUAUUAAUAAUAAUUAAAGGGAUAAGCUUUUAAUUAAAUUUUUAUAAUUUAAAAUAAUUAUUAUAAAUUUAUAGGUUUAGAAAUAUCCAUUAUUUAUAUAAUGUUAUAAUUAAUUUAUAAUUUAGUAUUAUUUUAAAAAUAUUUAAUUUUUUAUAAAUAAUAAAAAAGUAAUUAAAAAAUUUUAGUUAUAAUGAUAAAAUUAGUAUAUAUAAAUGUUUAAUUAAAUAUUAUUUUUAGGUUAAUUAAAGUAAUUCGGCAAUUUUUUUAUUCGCCUGUUUAACAAAAACAUGUCCUUUAGAUUUAGAAUUUAAGGUCUAACCUGCCCAAUGAUUAAUUUAAUGGCCGCAGUAAUUUGACUGUGCAAAGGUAGCAUAAUCAUUAGUUUUUUAAUUAAAAGCUUGUAUGAAUGGUUGGACGAGAUAAAGACUGUCUCUGAUUAAUUAAUAGAAUUUAAUUUUUAAGUUAAAAAGCUUAAAUAUAUAUAAAAGACGAGAAGACCCUAUAGAUCUUUAUAUAAUUUUUUUUUAAUUUUAAUAAUGAUUAGAUAAUUUAUUAAAAACUAUUAUAUUUUAUUGGGGUAAUAAAAAGAUUAAAAUAAUUCUUUUUUAUUAAACAUAAAUUAAUGAUUAUAUGAUCCAUUUUUAUUGAUUAUAAGAUUAAGUUACCUUAGGGAUAACAGCGUAAUUUUUUUAGAGAGUUCUUAUCGAUAAAAAAGUUUGCGACCUCGAUGUUGGAUUAAAAAUUAUUUUAGGCGUAGAAGUUUAAAAUUUUGGUCUGUUCGACCAUUGAAUUUUUACAUGAUCUGAGUUCAGACCGGUGUAAGCCAGGUCGGUUUCUAUCUUUAUUAGUAUAAAAUAUUUUAGUACGAAAGGACCAAAUAUUAAUUAUAUAAAUAAUUAUUUUUUUGAAUAAAAUUAUUACUUUGGCAGAUUAGUGCAAUAAAUUUAGA